CUAAAUCAGAAAGCAUGAAUAUAGUACAGAUGGUGGCUUAUUUUUGGCUCCAACUGGAAGAGAGAGAGAUUAUAAAAUCACCUCACAAUUUCUUUGUUAGCAACAUUUUUCCUGAAAGGAAAUGCACCUAAUCAUCAGUAACUUAAUGGCCAACAUUAAUUCAACAAAGACUGGUUUCACCUUCACCAACAUAAGAUGAAUUUGUUUGUGCAAUAUCGAGCAUUUUGACAAGAUAUUAUGGUCAGCCAUCAUUAUACAUAACAGAGGAGGAAGAUUAUCUGAAUGGAGAAAUUCCGUGAUAACUGGCGGAAGUUUUAUUCCUUGAGAUAUUCUAAAAACUUCAUAAAGGGGGAAAAGUAACAAAACCACAUGGAAUUGUUGAGAGGAAUGAACAAGAGAGUACAUGUAAAUUCCUAGUCCAGAG
This is a long non-coding RNA of Gorilla gorilla gorilla (western lowland gorilla), 424 nucleotides long. RefSeq lists it as uncharacterized. The transcript is spliced from 4 exons. NCBI's taxonomy places the organism in Eukaryota, Metazoa, Chordata, Mammalia, Primates, Hominidae. The record is from RefSeq and is a predicted model, not a curated record.